AGUGAACGCUGGCGGCGUGCCUAACACAUGCAAGUCGAGCGAUUCCGGGUAGCAAUACCUGGGAAUAGCGGCGAACGGGUGAGUAACACGUGCGGUAAUCUCCUCGAGUGAGGAAUAAGCCCUCGAGAGGGGGUCUAAUACCGCAUGAAACUCCGGGACUUUGUCUUCGGAGUCAAAGCCGAAAGGCGCUUGAGGAUGAGCCUGCGUCCUAUUAGCUAGUGGUAGGGUAAUGGCCUACCAAGGUUAUGAUGGGUAGCCGGCCUGAGAGGGUGUACGGCCCACUGGGACUGCGACACGGCCCAGACUCCUACGGGAGGCAGCAGUGAGGAAUUUUGCGCAUGGGGGAAACCCUGACGCAGCGACGCCGCGUGGAGGAUGACGGCCUUCGGGUUGUAAAUCCUGUCAGAGGUGAAGAAUGCCCGCAAGGGUUGACGGUAACCUCAGAGGAAGCCCCGGUAACUACGUGCCAGCAGCCGCGGUAAUACGUAGGGGGCAAGCGUUACUCGGAAUUACUGGCGUAAAGGGUGUGUAGGUGGCUGGAUAAGUCAAAGAGAAAUCCCGAGGCUCAACUUCGAAUUGNCUUUGAUACUGUUCAGCUUGAGGAUAGUUGAGGAG
Molecule: ribosomal RNA, 615 nt
Filed under: uncultured Lake Michigan sediment bacterium LMBA8
Lineage: Bacteria; Pseudomonadati; Acidobacteriota
Description: bacterial SSU rRNA
Rfam family: Bacterial small subunit ribosomal RNA
Source: RNAcentral